GGGCCCGUGGUCUAGUUGGUUAUGACGUCGCCUUGACAAGGCGGAGGUCGUGCGUUCGAAUCGCAUCGGGCCCA
RNAcentral lists this transfer RNA (74 nucleotides) under Methanomicrobia archaeon. It matches the Rfam family "tRNA". From Rfam's summary of the family: Transfer RNA (tRNA) molecules are approximately 80 nucleotides in length. Their secondary structure includes four short double-helical elements and three loops (D, anti-codon, and T loops). Further hydrogen bonds mediate the characteristic L-shaped molecular structure. tRNAs have two regions of fundamental functional importance: the anti-codon, which is responsible for specific mRNA codon recognition, and the 3' end, to which the tRNAs corresponding amino acid is attached (by aminoacyl-tRNA synthetases). tRNAs cope with the degeneracy of the genetic code in two manners: having more than one tRNA (with a specific anti-codon) for a particular amino acid; and 'wobble' base-pairing, i.e. permitting non-standard base-pairing at the 3rd anti-codon position. Lineage: Archaea; Methanobacteriati; Methanobacteriota; Methanomicrobia. The record is from Rfam by way of RNAcentral.